GAGCGCGGGAGCGAGUGGAUCCCUUCGGGGUGAAGCUCGUGGAACGAGCGGCGGACGGGUGAGUAACACGUGGGCAACCUGCCUGUAAGAUCGGAAUAACCCCGGGAAACCGGGGCUAAUGCCGGGUAAUACUUUCUUUCGCAUGAAGGAAAGUUGAAAGAUGGCUUCUYGCUAUCACUUACAGAUGGGCCCGCGGCGCAUUAGCUAGUUGGUGAGGUAACGGCUCACCAAGGCGACGAUGCGUAGCCGACCUGAGAGGGUGAUCGGCCACACUGGGACUGAGACACGGCCCAGACUCCUACGGGAGGCAGCAGUAGGGAAUCUUCCGCAAUGGACGAAAGUCUGACGGAGCAACGCCGCGUGAACGAUGAAGGUCUUCGGAUCGUAAAGUUCUGUUGUUAGGGAAGAACAAGUACCGUGCGAAUAGAGCGGUACCUUGACGGUACCUAACGAGGAAGCCCCGGCUAACUACGUGCCAGCAGCCGCGGUAAUACGUAGGGGGCAAGCGUUGUCCGGAAUUAUUGGGCGUAAAGCGCGCGCAGGCGGUUCCUUAAGUCUGAUGUGAAAGCCCACGGCUCAACCGUGGAGGGUCAUUGGAAACUGGGGAACUUGAGGACAGAAGAGGAGAGUGGAAUUCCACGUGUAGCGGUGAAAUGCGUAGAUAUGUGGAGGAACACCAGUGGCGAAGGCGACUCUCUGGUCUGUUUCUGACGCUGAGGUGCGAAAGCGUGGGUAGCAACAGGAUUAGAUACCCUGGUAGUCCACGCCGUAACGAUGAGUGCUAGUGUAGGGGGCUUCCACCCCUUAGUGCU
RNAcentral lists this ribosomal RNA (812 nucleotides) under Halobacillus trueperi. RNAcentral's name for it is "bacterial SSU rRNA". It matches the Rfam family "Bacterial small subunit ribosomal RNA", at positions 64 to 847 of the family's 1533-position model. Lineage: Bacteria; Bacillati; Bacillota; Bacilli; Caryophanales; Bacillaceae. The record is from RNAcentral.